This 29-nucleotide small RNA is filed under the name Bombyx mori (domestic silkworm). Its description in RNAcentral is "ovarian small RNA-8129". The record is from RNAcentral. Lineage: Eukaryota; Metazoa; Arthropoda; Insecta; Lepidoptera; Bombycidae.
UGACGGAGUCUUCCAUGCCGAACAGUGAC